GUGGGGAAUAUUGGACAAUGGGGGGAACCCUGAUCCAGCCAUGCCGCGUGUGUGAAGAAGGCCUUUUGGUUGUAAAGCACUUUAAGCGAGGAGGAGGCUACCGAGAUUAAUACUCUUGGAUAGUGGACGUUACUCGCAGAAUAAGCACCGGCUCACUCUGUGCCAGCAGCCGCGGUAAUACAGAGGGUGCAAGCGUUAAUCGGAUUUACUGGGCGUCAAGCGCGCGUAGGUGGCCAAUUAAGUCAAAUGUGAAAUCCCCGAGCUUAACUUGGGAAUUGCAUUCGAUACUGGUUGGCUAGAGUAUGGGAGAGGAUGGUAGAAUUCCAGGUGUAGCGGUGAAAUGCGUAGAGAUCUGGAGGAAUACCGAUGGCGAAGGCAGCCAUCUGGCCUAAUACUGACACUGAGGUGCGAAAGCAUGGGGAGCAAACAGGAUUAGAUACCCUAGUAGUCC
RNAcentral lists this ribosomal RNA (451 nucleotides) under uncultured bacterium. RNAcentral's name for it is "partial 16S ribosomal RNA". It matches the Rfam family "Bacterial small subunit ribosomal RNA", at positions 354 to 796 of the family's 1533-position model. The record is from RNAcentral.